UGUCAAAUAAUUCAAUGGUUAGAAUAUCAGUUUCAUACUCUGAGAAUAUGAGUUCAAGUCUCAUUUUGACAA
Molecule: transfer RNA, 72 nt
Filed under: Capsaspora owczarzaki
Lineage: Eukaryota; Filasterea; Ministeriida; Capsasporidae
Description: tRNA-Met
Rfam family: tRNA
About the family: Transfer RNA (tRNA) molecules are approximately 80 nucleotides in length.
Source: RNAcentral